RNAcentral lists this ribosomal RNA (490 nucleotides) under uncultured bacterium. Its description in RNAcentral is "partial 16S ribosomal RNA". It matches the Rfam family "Bacterial small subunit ribosomal RNA", at positions 30 to 507 of the family's 1533-position model. The record is from RNAcentral.
AUUGAACGCUGGCGGCAGGCCUAACACAUGCAAGUCGAACGGUAACAGGGAUCAGCUUGCUGAUUCGCUGACGAGUGGUGGACGGGUGAGUAAUGUCUGGGAAACUGCCUGAUGGAGGGGGAUAACUACUGGAAACGGUAGCUAAUACCGCAUAACGUCGCAAGACCAAAGAGGGGGACCUUCGGGCCUCUUGCCAUCGGAUGUGCCCAGAUGGGAUUAGCUAGUAGGUGGGGUAACGGCUCACCUAGGCGACGAUCCCUAGCUGGUCUGAGAGGAUGACCAGCCACACUGGAACUGAGACACGGUCCAGACUCCUACGGGAGGCAGCAGUGGGGAAUAUUGCACAAUGGGCGCAAGCCUGAUGCAGCCAUGCCGCGUGUAUGAAGAAGGCCUUCGGGUUGUAAAGUACUUUCAGCGGGGAGGAAGGGAGUAAAGUUAAUACCUUUGCUCAUUGACGUUACCCGCAGAAGAAGCACCGGCUAACUCCGUG